UGAAAAGGGCGAUACUAGCAGUGACACCAUUCGCAGAAAAUCAACAGCUAUUGUUUAAAUAGACCUGGCAUCACUGAUGCUAAAAUAAUUCAUUCAUAUACCUGUCAAAAGCAUCAUUUUUCACUUGCAAGAGGGAUGAGGAUUGUAACAUUGGGAACCUGGCACAUACAUUGAUCAAACGGCUCUGGAUAGAAAACACGGUGGCAUAUGUGUUUAGGACAUGAGUUGUGCGGCCGAGGCGUUAGUGAACUGGCUCAAAUAACUUCACCAGAAACUCUUGCUUUUAGUAAUGUGAAAUGGAUUCUCGUAUUGCUACCAAGUACAAAACUGGGUAACUUGAGCAAUUGACCCUCGGCAUGUUUCGUGGCAAGUGAUGCUCAGAGUCUACGCGUUUAUCAAACAGCAAUCGAUGUUCGAACACUAGCGUUCCAAACGCAGGUUCCAUUGGAUGGAUUCGACGAAAUUGUUUUAAGAUUCUUUAUCUGAUUAACCCCCAGGAACUCGUAAAAAUAGUCUCGCAACAGUUUACGGCCCGACCAGGAUGCAUAAUUCAACUAGAUACAAUUGACAAUGUCACGCAUGACUAGUAGAAUACUAAAUUACUGCUUAUUUUCUAAAAACGGCUGACUACUGUUGAGCGUUCUGAGGAACAGAUGAUAAUACGCUAUGAUAAUAAACACUGGCUUAAUUGCAGGGCAGAUGGCAGAAUUCCCCGUUUACAGAUUCAUUCUAUUGGGUCGUUUUGGGAUGCACAGCAAACGGAACGAUGAACGUUGCGAAUUGUGAUUGCUUUACAACCUACGGCUUGGGAUGAAAUGAGCAGUAAUUUGAGGAAUGUCCCAGAUAGUAUCUUGGUACAUAAUUUAUAUGAUCCAGGGUACGUUCACCGAGCUGGAAUGCAUGGUGUGAGAAAAAACAACAGCGACCACAUCAACGACUAACGUUCGUGCUCAAGAGUCGCCAUUGCGAGUGGACGUCGAUGUGUUACAUGCCGCUUCAGCAGCUCGGCAUCUCAGAUCUUCGUCUAUUGAUACAGUUGGUUUUGCAUCUUACGUAUAAUUAACUAGCUAAUACCCAUCGCGCGUUGCUACGAUUUUCAACGAAAUAGGAGGAAAACACAAUUCUUACGUAGCGCUAUCUGGCGGGCAGAUAAUCCCCAACCAAUAGCACACAAAUACGCUCCAUAACAAAUGGAAUCUAUAAAUGAUAUACAUACAAACUUUGACUUUUAUAGAUUUAUAGAUAUAUAGAUAUAGAUAGAUAGAUGGAACCAACUAUUUGUUUCUAAAAAUGUAAUGUUAUUGGUAGUUUUGUGUAUAAUUGUCUCAUGGAGCAAAAAUGCGAGUAACGGCGGUGCUCAUGAGUUCUGCCUAUGCUUUCGUGUACAGUAUGGGAAGUCCCGCCUGGGCCAGGCGGCAUAACCAAUGAAGUCGGUUUAAGACAACGUAGAUUGGUGUUUCUUUUCAAAAACAUGUAACAGAACUUAUAUGCAAUGUUGAAUAAAAUUUAGUUUGGAAUUCAAUGCCCUAAUAAAAGCAAAGAUAUUUCUAGAAAUUCAAACUAAUUCGAAGUUUCUAUCCCACUCCUAAA
Topomyia yanbarensis is the source of this 1590-nucleotide long non-coding RNA. RefSeq lists it as uncharacterized. Lineage: Eukaryota; Metazoa; Arthropoda; Insecta; Diptera; Culicidae. The transcript has 3 exons. The record is from RefSeq and is a predicted model, not a curated record.